GACGAACGCUGGCGGCGUGCUUAACACAUGCAAGUCGAACGGAAAGGCCCUGCUUUUGUGGGGUGCUCGAGUGGCGAACGGGUGAGUAACACGUGAGUAACCUGCCCUUGACUUUGGGAUAACUUCAGGAAACUGGGGCUAAUACCGGAUAGGAGCUCCUGCUGCAUGGUGGGGGUUGGAAAGUUUCGGCGGUUGGGGAUGGACUCGCGGCUUAUCAGCUUGUUGGUGGGGUAGUGGCUUACCAAGGCUUUGACGGGUAGCCGGCCUGAGAGGGUGACCGGCAACAUUGGGACUGAGGUACGGCCCAGACUCCUACGGGAGGCAGCAGUGGGGAAUAUUGCAAAAUGGGCGGAAGCCUGAUGCAGCAACGCCGCGUGCGGGAUGACGGCCUUCGGGUUGUAAACCGCUUUCGCCUGUGACGAAGCGUGAGUGACGGUAAUGGGUAAAGAAGCACCGGCUAACUACGUG
RNAcentral lists this ribosomal RNA (468 nucleotides) under uncultured bacterium. RNAcentral's name for it is "partial 16S ribosomal RNA". It matches the Rfam family "Bacterial small subunit ribosomal RNA", at positions 28 to 507 of the family's 1533-position model. The record is from RNAcentral.